CAGGAAUGUAAUUAUAAGCUGUAGUUUUGUUACAAGAAUGCUGCUCCUCCCUUUUGCCAUAAUAAUGUAUGUUGAUUUUGCUUUCAUGUUUGAUUGUGCAAAUGACGAAGUCUGAAGUAAAAAAAGAAUUAAAGUUAAAACCAGUGUUUCCAACCCUCCCGGUCCCGCCCUAAGUUAUUAAAGUCAGAGAAGCUCUAACACCUCCAUCAUUUAUCCUAAACUCCUAGAACAUCUCACACACAGGUAACAAAAACUGCACGAUUAACAGAUACAUAAGCACAUAAAGAUCACGGAUGAGGAGUAAAUGGAUUUAUGUGGCUAUCCUGGGGAUAGCAUGCAUGAUGCUUGGAGUCAAUGGGAGCAAUACAACAAGCAGUAGCAACUCUACAGACAGCUGGAUAUCUUCUAACAUGACCACCAGCCUGACCCAGACGCUACCAACCAACAUGACCACCAACCUGACCCAGACACUACCACCCAACAUUACCACCAACCUGACCCAGACGAACCCACCCAGCAUGACCACCAACCUAAACCAGGUCGGUCCCUUCAACAUAACUUCAAACUUAACUCAAACAGGACCUCCCAACAUAAACCUUAACCUUACCCAGAUGGGUCCUCUCAACAUGACCACCAGCCUUACCCAGACUGGCCCUCUUAAUAUGACUACAAACCCAUCCCUGAUGGGCCCUCUCAACAUGACCACAAACCCCGACCAGUUAAGCCCUUUUAACAUGACCACAAACCCAACCCAGAUUGGCCCUCUCAAUAUGACCACAAACCCGAACCAGAUGAGCCCUUUAAACACGACCACAGACCCCAACCAAAU
Molecule: long non-coding RNA, 829 nt
Organism: Cyprinus carpio carpio
Lineage: Eukaryota; Metazoa; Chordata; Actinopteri; Cypriniformes; Cyprinidae
Source: Ensembl